UAGGGAAUAUUGGACAAUGGGUGAGAGCCUGAUCCAGCCAUGCCGCGUGCAGGAAGAAGGCGUUAUGCGUUGUAAACUGCUUUUUGCCAGGGGAUAAAAUGACCGUGCGCGGUUAAUUGAAGGUACCUGGUGAAUAAGCCACGGCUAACUACGUGCCAGCAGCCGCGGUAAUACGUAGGUGGCAAGCGUUGUCCGGAUUUAUUGGGUUUAAAGGGUGCGUAGGUGGCCCUGUAAGUCAGUGAUGAAAUAUCUCAGCUUAACUGAGAGGGUGCCAUUGAUACUGCAGGGCUUGAGUACAGAUGAGGUAGGCGGAAUUGACGGUGUAGCGGUGAAAUGCGUAGAUAUCGUCAAGAACACCGAUAGCGAAGGCAGCUUACCAAGCUGUAACUGACACUGAGGCACGAAAGUGUGGGGAUCAAACAGGAUUAGAUACCCUCGUAGUCCCUGAGCGGGCUGGCAAGGCGCAU
Molecule: ribosomal RNA, 467 nt
Filed under: uncultured bacterium
Lineage: Bacteria
Description: bacterial SSU rRNA
Rfam family: Bacterial small subunit ribosomal RNA
Source: RNAcentral